UCUGUUACAGUCACGGCUCGAAUUUGCAUUAAAGGAGUGACGUGACGCAGUGUACCGCUCUUCUAAAUGCACUCCAUUUCGCGUGCCCGCGCACUCACACAAACGCAAACACAUACAGGCGGACGUACGAGAAGAGCAUCCGAGCACACGAAUGCAAAGAGUGGCCAGGAUCGAUGCGAGCCACGUGGGCGACUUGUUAAGUGCACCGUCGAAUCACACCCAAGCUGCAGCUUCGUAUUCUGCGUUGCACCCAUACAAGAGUAUGCACUUUGAUUUAAUGCUCCACGGAGCGAGAUAACACCCGACCAGUCAAGGGUCCGAUUUUUUUCGGGAUAAUACAAAUGUUCGUACGCGCGCAUAAUGGCGAGCAAGGUCGCGCAGAGUGUGCAUUUGAGUAAUCGAGCAUUGUGCUUGCAUUACGAAGAUGGACUGGAAUGGAAUGGGUACAGAUAUGCUUGUUUGGAUAACGCCGCGAUCUUGAUUAAACGCUCUCCACCGUCAGAUCACGGAUAUCGUUAUUAAGAGAUGUUUAUUAAACAUUGGCAGAGUGUCGUUACGAAAUUAAAUAUUAAUAGUUGAAUAACGUACGUGAUGUAAGCAGAAAGAAAUGAAGUAUAAUAGAAAAACGAAACGAAAAAAUGAAAGGGGAGCAACUUGAAGAUUUCUCGUAGAACAAUUUAAGGUUGGAAACUAGAUUUCAAUUCCGGCGCAGACACCUGGCGUCUCCGGUCGUAAUACUUUACGAAUAAUAUUAACGACGUACCACGAAAAAUCACCGCCUACAUGAUUUACGAAAUGAUAAAUUAAUUGCACAAAAUAUGAAGCUACUCGUGGAUCCGGUUAGACCUUGUACAAAUCGGUGUUCUAUAGAAUGAUUGAUGAUUAAUGCAUGCAACUCUCAAUCAGGAAAACAAUUCAAAACCUUGGUGAAUAAUUGUUGUAUAAUUGCAAAAAUUAUCGAAACAAAUUUGUAACAGAUCAGCUUUUU
Long non-coding RNA from Bombus huntii, 988 nucleotides. RefSeq lists it as uncharacterized. The transcript is spliced from 3 exons. NCBI's taxonomy places the organism in Eukaryota, Metazoa, Arthropoda, Insecta, Hymenoptera, Apidae. The record is from RefSeq and is a predicted model, not a curated record.